RNAcentral lists this transfer RNA (76 nucleotides) under Flavobacteriaceae bacterium. RNAcentral describes it as "tRNA-Asn". It matches the Rfam family "tRNA". From Rfam's summary of the family: Transfer RNA (tRNA) molecules are approximately 80 nucleotides in length. Their secondary structure includes four short double-helical elements and three loops (D, anti-codon, and T loops). Lineage: Bacteria; Pseudomonadati; Bacteroidota; Flavobacteriia; Flavobacteriales; Flavobacteriaceae. The record is from RNAcentral.
GGUGGUUGUAGUUCAGUUGGUAAGAACGCCUGAUUGUUGUUCAGGAGGUCGCCGGUUCGAGUCCGGUCUUCCACCC